GUCCGGCGGCAGGAACCCCCCGCGGGCAGUCGCCACACGCACACGGGGAGGCUUAGAGCGGCGGACGCUUCCUCUGUGCGGCGGGGCGCGGGCGGCGGGCGCCGCCAUGUUGUACGGCAGCUGGUGUUGGGGCGGCUGUGUACCUGGACAGGCGUCAGCGUGCCUUCAGCCGGGGCAGCGAGCACUGGCAAAAAUACUGAAAAGCGAGCUCUUUUCAGGAGAGUGAAAAGAGCGGCUUGUUGUCUGAGAUUAGGAGGGCUCGAGGAGCGAGCCGCAGCGGGGCAGUGGAAGCCACCCGACCCGGAGGACAGGGGAGCCCCUCGGGCAGGAGGGACCAGAGAGAACGGGAAGAACAAAGGCAGCCAGGAAAAUAAAUAGGAAUGCGUAGCCACCUCGAAGUGGCAAACUGGAAGAAAACAAAGAGGGGGAAAAUCGAGCGGGAAGGUCUGCAUCUGCCUUACACUCACGACCUGGACACAGCCUCUCCAUCCAUCCCCUAUGCUCCAAUGCACCAGACAGCUGACCAGCUGAAAUGGAGGUCACCAAGCACGAGCCAGCACUACUCUGAAGCUCCUCACACAACUUGUGCUCAGAAGAAAAGUGCAUCACAUGGAUGCUCAGGAGAGAAAACUAGAGGGGUCUGGCUGUAACUGAGUUUCUGUAGUCGGUCUAGCAUAAACCUGGAUGGCCACUUGGAAGGAUAGUCCCAGAUUUCCUGUUGUACCUGUGAUUUGACUGCUCGCUCCCUGCUCCCUUGCUCCAGAACCCACAUUUCUGUAAUGAUGGGUCAGAGAAUCCGGAGACUAAUCCGACUGUAAACGAGUUCAAGGGAAAAAGGUAACACCUGGGGACACAACAGACUUGUUUAAGGCCCAGGUGACUGAAGGAGACCUAAGAAGAUGGUUUGUCUGGGCUCCAGGAUGCAGGUCCCUCGUUGUGGGGCAGGUAAGGCAUUCUUAAGAGAACUCUCUCAAAGCUCAAGAUGAGCUCAGAAUACCAAACAAAUCUGCAAAGAUUGUUUGUAGCCAGACCCAUUUUUAAUAAACUGGCAUCCACACAAAAUUUUGAAAUAGAC
This 1075-nucleotide long non-coding RNA is filed under the name Manacus vitellinus (golden-collared manakin). RNAcentral's name for it is "lncRNA (ENSMVIG00005010984.1)". Lineage: Eukaryota; Metazoa; Chordata; Aves; Passeriformes; Pipridae. The record is from RNAcentral.